Molecule: unclassified non-coding RNA, 253 nt
Filed under: Hevea brasiliensis (rubber tree)
Lineage: Eukaryota; Viridiplantae; Streptophyta; Magnoliopsida; Malpighiales; Euphorbiaceae
Source: RNAcentral
AAAAUACUAACAUAUUAUGAUUAAAACAAAGCAAAAAGCACUAAAAACAUAUUAAACACUUGUGAUUACAUCUUAUAGUAAUUAAAGAUGUCAAUUCCACAAUAAUUAAUAUAUAGAGUAUUUGAUAUUUAAUCAAGCUUGAGCUAGACGACUAAUAUCAUAAGGAUAUGCAUCAGAUGAUUUUUGAGCUCUAUAUGAUCUCCUCCCGACAACUAUAUUUGCAGCUUCAGUUGGAUGAAAUGCAUCCCAAAAU